AGUUUGAUCAUGGCUCAGAACGAACGCUGGCGGCAGGCUUAACACAUGCAAGUCGAACGAAGUCUUCGGACUUAGUGGCAGACGGGUGAGUAACGCGUGGGAACAUACCUUUCGGUACGGAACAACAGUUGGAAACGACUGCUAAUACCGUAUACGCCCUAUGGGGGAAAGAUUUAUCGCCGAGAGAUUGGCCCGCGUUAGAUUAGCUAGUUGGUGAGGUAAUGGKUCACCAAGGCGACGAUCUAUAGCUGGUCUGAGAGGAUGAUCAGCCACACUGGGACUGAGACACGGCCCAGACUCCUACGGGAGGCAGCAGUGGGGAAUAUUGGACAAUGGGCGCAAGCCUGAUCCAGCCAUGCCGCGUGAGUGAUGAAGGCCUUAGGGUUGUAAAGCUCUUUCAGCGAGGAGGAUAAUGACGUUACUCGCAGAAGAAGCCCCGGCUAACUUCGUGCCAGCAGCCGCGGUAAUACGAAGGGGGCUAGCGUUGUUCGGAAUCACUGGGCGUAAAGCGCACGUAGGCGGAUUGGUCAGUUAGGGGUGAAAUCCCAGAGCUCAACUCUGGAACUGCCUUUAAUACUGCCAGUCUUGAGUCCGAGAGAGGUGAGUGGAACUCCGAGUGUAGAGGUGAAAUUCGUAGAUAUUCGGAAGAACACCAGUGGCGAAGGCGGCUCACUGGCUCGG
This 681-nucleotide ribosomal RNA is filed under the name alpha proteobacterium GWS-SE-H253. Its description in RNAcentral is "bacterial SSU rRNA". It matches the Rfam family "Bacterial small subunit ribosomal RNA", at positions 10 to 737 of the family's 1533-position model. The record is from RNAcentral. Lineage: Bacteria; Pseudomonadati; Pseudomonadota; Alphaproteobacteria.